This 253-nucleotide ribosomal RNA is filed under the name uncultured bacterium. RNAcentral's name for it is "partial 16S ribosomal RNA". It matches the Rfam family "Bacterial small subunit ribosomal RNA", at positions 524 to 776 of the family's 1533-position model. The record is from RNAcentral.
UACAGAGGUGGCAAGCGUUGUUCGGAAUUACUGGGCGUAAAGGGCGCGUAGGCGGUUCGAUAAGUCCCGUGUGAAAGCCCCCGGCUCAACUGGGGAACUGCACGGGAAACUGACGGACUUGAGUUCGGGAGAGGGAAGCGGAAUUCCGGGUGUAGCGGUGAAAUGCGUAGAUAUCCGGAGGAACACCGGUGGCGAAGGCGGCUUCCUGGACCGACACUGACGCUGAGGCGCGAAAGCCAGGGGGGCAAACGGG